CCCAGAGUGCUGGCUGGGGGUUUAGUCAGCAGGGGCUACAGAAGCCACGUUGGUGACUGGGUGAAUGGGAUUGGUGAGGACAAUUGUGUAAGUGUCUGAAGAACCAUCUGGGGCUCCUUCAACAACUCAACAAGAGCUGGGUUCCUAUGAGGUCAUGGAGACCAGGAGAGCAUACAGUUUGUAUCUGCCAUUGAGGAGCCACUAUUCUUGGGCAGACUCCUUCGUGAAGAGCAGGUGGGGCCAGAAUUGAAUGCUUUCUUAGGACAUUUCACCACUGCUAUCCAUCCAUGCAAAUGUGGUUAUAUGGAAGUUAUUUUGUGUUAAAGAGAAGAUUGGGAGCAUUGGAAAAGGUAAGACAAGUAAAAUCUUUGCUUUUCCUGUUUCUUUUUGUGCUCUUUAAAUCAUUUUUUUUUUAUUUUUAUUUUUUGAUACAGCUCUGUUGCCCAGGCUGGAGUGCAGUGACAUGAUUGCAGCUCACUGCAGCCUCAAUCUCCUGGGCUCAAGUGAUCCUCCUGCCUCCGUCUCCUGAGUAGCUGGCACCACAGAUGUGCACCGAAGUUUCAAUAAUAAUAGCCCUUCCCUGAAACUCAGCUGCCUUUGUAAAGCUAAUGAGAGACCACCAGGCUAGCGGGAGGAGAGGAGCCUGAAUUCUGCUAAGGUGUAGACUGGUCACAAGAUAUGUAACUUCCCUAUUACUCCUGCAGAUAACAUCACUAUUUUGGAUUGGCUUUUUGAAAUAUUUUUUCAGGUUUUUUGCAUGUCUGACACCAAUGGCUCCACCUGGACCCGAUGGCUCCGCCUGGACCUGCCAAACUCCUCCUAUGGUUCCACCCAGGAACAACUCAGCUCAAGAAGACAGUUUCAACCACCUAUGAUUUCAUCUCCAUCUCAACCAAUCAGCAGUAAGCAACCAUUUCCUACUCACUCCCACCCCUUUCCCAAACUGCCUUUGGAAAAU
RNAcentral lists this long non-coding RNA (958 nucleotides) under Homo sapiens (human). RNAcentral describes it as "non-protein coding lnc-HS3ST3B1-9:2". Lineage: Eukaryota; Metazoa; Chordata; Mammalia; Primates; Hominidae. The record is from RNAcentral.